AGAGUUUGAUCAUGGCUCAGAACGAACGCUGGCGGCAUGCCUAACACAUGCAAGUCGAACGCUUUGUCGGUUUCGGCCGGCAAGGAGUGGCGCACGGGUGAGUAGCGCGUGGGAACCUGCCCUCUUGUGGGGGAUAACCGAGGGAAACUUCGGCUAAUACCGCAUGCGCCCCUGGGGAGACCUGGGGGGAAAGAUUUUAU
RNAcentral lists this ribosomal RNA (200 nucleotides) under uncultured bacterium. RNAcentral's name for it is "partial 16S ribosomal RNA". It matches the Rfam family "Bacterial small subunit ribosomal RNA", at positions 8 to 213 of the family's 1533-position model. The record is from RNAcentral.